RNAcentral lists this ribosomal RNA (662 nucleotides) under uncultured Acidobacteriaceae bacterium. RNAcentral's name for it is "bacterial SSU rRNA". It matches the Rfam family "Bacterial small subunit ribosomal RNA", at positions 28 to 669 of the family's 1533-position model. Lineage: Bacteria; Pseudomonadati; Acidobacteriota; Terriglobia; Terriglobales; Acidobacteriaceae. The record is from RNAcentral.
AAUGAACGCUGGCGGUGUGCUUAACACAUGCAAGUCGUGCGCGAACGUGGCUUCGGCCACUAGUAGAGCGGCGAACGGGUGAGUAACACGUGGGUGAUCUGCCCAAGUGCGGGGAAUAACCUGGGGAAACUCGGGCUAAUGCCCCAUAAUCUUUCCAGGCUGCGGCCUGGUCAGGAAAGCUGGCCUCUGUUURCAUGCUAGCGCACUUGGAGGAGCCCGCGGUGGAUUAGCUAGUUGGUGGGGUAAGAGCCCACCAAGGCGACGAUCUAUAGCCGGCCUGAGAGGGCGAUCGGCCACACUGGGACUGAGACACGGCCCAGACUCCUACGGGAGGCAGCAGUGGGGAAUAUUGGACAAUGGGGGAAACCCUGAUCCAGCAACACCGCGUGGAGGAAGAAGGUCUUCGGAUCGUAAACUCCUGUCAGGCAGGACGAAGGUACGUUGGCGAAUAGUCAGCGUGCUUGACGGUACUGCCAGAGGAAGCCCCGGCUAACUCCGUGCCAGCAGCCGCGGUAAUACGGAGGGGGCGAGCGUUAUUCGGAAUUAUUGGGCGUAAAGGGCGUGUAGGCGGCUUUGCAUGUCAAAGGUGAAAUCCCUCGGCUCAACCGAGGAACUGCCUUUGAAACUGCAUUGCUCGAGGCCGGGAGGGGCCAGUGGAAUUC